AUCACCUCCAUGCCGCACGAAAACCUUACUCUCUGCAAAAAGAAAACCAGAAAAUGAGAAGAAAAGCCCAAAAGAAAAAAAAGAUGCAGAAACAAGAGAAUGAUGAGCUGAAGAGAGAGAAACUCACUCAGAAAAGUUGCACGCAAGACGUGGUUUGUAGAGAGAGAGAGUGGAGGAGGAGGAGUGAGAAACCUUGGAUCCAAAAAGCCUCUCCUCUUUUAUUUUUCUUUUCUCUUUCUCUCUCAAUCGGAAUAAACAAUUCCUCUCUGUCGCUCUCUCACUUUCUUCUUUCCUUUUUCCUCUGCCACGUUCACUCGAAUGAAACCCUCUCAAUCCCCGGAGUUCUAGAGAAAGAAAGCGAGGCGACACUUGAUUUUCUACUUCUUUCUCUCUCUAAAACCUUCAUCUCCGGCAAUGGGAGCUCGUUGCUCCAGAUUCCACCUCUGCUGGUUGUCGUCUGAUCUCAAAUCCAAAGUUCCAGAUUCAUCCGAUCUCGAGAACUGUCGCGAAAGUGAACAGGCCUCAUUGCCCAGCUUCAGAGAGUACAGUUUGGAUCAACUCAUAGCUGCGACCUCUGGAUUUUCAGUGGAAAACAUUGUAUCGGAACAUGGAGAGAAAGCUCCCAAUGUGGUUUACAAAGGAAAGCUUGAGGAUGACCGUUGGAUCGCAGUCAAGCGUUUCAACAAGUCGGCGUGGCCCGAUUCUCGUCAAUUCCUAGAUGAAGCGAGAUUAGUGGGGCAGCUACGGAGUGAGAGGUUGGCGAAUUUGAUUGGGUGUUGCUGCGAAGGAAACGAGAGAUUGCUUGUAGCUGAGUUCAUGCCUAACGAAACUCUAUCAAAGCAUCUUUUCCAUUGGGAGACCCAGCCCAUGAAAUGGGCAAUGCGGAUGAGAGUAUCCUUGUACUUGGCACAAGCUUUGGAUUAUUGCAGCAGUAAGGGGCGAGCGCUAUAUCAUGAUCUCAAUGCUUACAGGGUUUUGUUCGAUCAGGAUUGUAAUCCCAGGCUCUCAUGCUUUGGUUUAAUGAAGAAUAGCAGAGAUGGCAAGAGCUAUAGUACAAACUUGGCUUUCACCCCUCCGGAGUACUUGAGGACAGGUAGAGUGACGCCAGAGAGUGUAGUUUACAGUUUCGGCACCCUAUUACUUGAUCUCCUCAGUGGAAAGCAUAUUCCCCCAAGCCAUGCACUUGACCUGAUACGUGGCAAGAAUUUUCUGAUGCUGAUGGACUCUUGUUUGGAGGGUCAUUUCUCAAAUGAUGAUGGAACUGAAUUAAUGCGAUUAGCUUCACGUUGUUUACAAUAUGAACCUCGUGAGAGACCAAAUGCGAGGUCCCUUGUAACUGCUCUUGCUUCUCUUCAAAAAGAAACCGAUCAGGUACCGUCACAUGUUUUGAUGGAUAUUCCUCAUAAAACUGCAUGUUCAACGCAAACAUCAGUAUUGUCACCGUUAGGUGAAGCUUGUUCAAGGAUGGAUCUUACUGCCAUACAUGAGAUAUUGGAGAAGGUUGGAUACAAAGAUGAUGAGGGGGUUGCAAAUGAGCUGUCUUUCCAAAUGUGGACAAAUCAAAUACAGGAAACAUUAAAUUCUAAAAACCGGGGGGACGCUGCUUUUCGAGCUAAAGACUUCACUACUGCAAUUGAUUGUUACACACAAUUCAUUGAUGGUGGAACCGUGAUAUCGCCAACUGUUUUUGCCAGACGCUGCUUGUGCUUCUUGAUGAAUGGCAUGCCACAAGAAGCUCUUGGAGAUGCUAUGCAAGCCCAAGUUAUAUCCCCUGAAUGGGCCACUGCCUUCUACCUUCAAGCAGCUGCCCUCUUUAGCCUGGGGAUGGACAACGAUGCCCAGGAAACUCUCAAAGAUGGUUCAUCCUUGGAUGCCAAAACUCUCAAAGAUGGGUCGCCCUUGGAUGCCAAAAGGAAAAGAAUCUGAAAGUAUGCUAGCUGGAGCACAAGCAAGUGAAGCAGAUGAUUCGCUAGACAUGGGACCGGCAGCCUCAGCAGAUGCUGGACCUGAAGCUGCAGAGACUGGACCAGAAGCUGCACCAGAACUUAGAAGCUCAGCCAUUGCACGUCGUGGAUUCGUUUGCUGUGCCUUGCACAAGUCUGGCAAAAACACUCCUGCAGAUGUAACACAGCUUGAAAAAUGUUGGUGUUGGUGAUAAAAGUUUGAAGGCAAAUCACCACCUUCUGCUAGAGCCAAACUGUAGUAGAGGUCAACAAUGUUGGGGCAGUUCUGAUAACAAGCCGGAGAGCAAAGUCUGGCAGCGAAUUCAGGCUCCAGAAGGGAAUCUGAGGAGAUCCCGACGGAGUAUCUAUCAAUGCCACAAGCACUCACACACUCGUUAUUCUCAACCCAUUCAGGCAUAUUUUUCACCACCACCUCUGAGCUCUUGCAUUGGUAUGCAAUGGUUCCAUCACUAGACUCGGAAGUCUCUAACAAACAUCGCUUUCCAGAAGAUGCGACCGCGAACGAGCACAUUCCUACGGGCAGUUGCUCACAUACAAAACCACCUACAUAUAUAUAUAUAUAUAUAAUGUUAGUAUUGCAUAUAAAGUUUUAGAAAGAGAAAAAAAGAGGAGAGAAGUUCUAGUGGUGGUACCUAGAGCGCCUUGGAGGAAGAGAGAGAAAGCGAAGAAGAGGAUCAAUGCCAUUUAUGUGAAGAAGCUUUGUGGUUCUGGUUUUUAGAAAUUCUUGGACUUCGUUUAAAACUUUCUUGGGAUGUUUUUUGGAUGGAAGAUUAUAAGGGAGGGGAGUGUUUAUAUAGAGAAAAUAACCUUGAAAAUCUAUAGAAAAUGACAAUGGAGAGCAUAACAAGGUUUGAACUGU
RNA transcript from Cornus florida, 2823 nucleotides. It is a transcript of the gene named serine/threonine-protein kinase BSK5-like, with no coding region annotated. Lineage: Eukaryota; Viridiplantae; Streptophyta; Magnoliopsida; Cornales; Cornaceae. The transcript is spliced from 12 exons. The record is from RefSeq and is a predicted model, not a curated record.